UAAGAAAAAAAGAAACCACAUUAUUUUAUAUUUUAUAUGCGCCAUUUAAUCUUUAAUUGAUAUACAUUUAUAUUAUACGAAGACGUUAAAAACGAUUCUGAGUGUAGUUCGGGUAUAUGUGUGAACUUUAAAUAGAUAAAUUUAGAUAAAAAAAAUAUUGCAUUCAACUUAUCUCAUUUUUGGUUUACCCGUAAAAUUGUUAUUCACUUAAAUCGGAACGUAAUACAGUUUAUAUAAAAAAAAUCCAAAAACUACAAAUUUUCAAU
Cinara cedri is the source of this 266-nucleotide non-coding RNA. The record is from the annotation of a GenBank genome assembly. Lineage: Eukaryota; Metazoa; Arthropoda; Insecta; Hemiptera; Aphididae.